RNAcentral lists this ribosomal RNA (433 nucleotides) under uncultured bacterium. RNAcentral's name for it is "partial 16S ribosomal RNA". It matches the Rfam family "Bacterial small subunit ribosomal RNA", at positions 29 to 507 of the family's 1533-position model. The record is from RNAcentral.
AACGAACGCUGGCGGCAUGCCUAACACACGCAAGUCGAACGAGACCUUCGGGUCUAGUGGCGCACGGGUGCGUAACGCGUGGGAACCUGCCCUUAGGUUCGGAAUAACUCCCCGAAAGGGGUGCUAAUACCGGAUAAUGUCUUCGGACCAAAGAUUUAUCGCCUUUGGAUGGGCCCGCGUUGGAUUAGCUAGUUGGUAGGGUAAAAGCCUACCAAGGCGACGAUCCAUAGCUGGUCUGAGAGGAUGAUCAGCCACACUGGGACUGAGACACGGCCCAGACUCCUACGGGAGGCAGCAGUGGGGAAUAUUGGACAAUGGGCGAAAGCCUGAUCCAGCAAUGCCGCGUGAGUGAUGAAGGCCUUAGGGUUGUAAAGCUCUUUUACCCGGGAUGAUAAUGACAGUACCGGGAGAUUAAGCUCCGGCUAACUCCGUG